RNAcentral lists this transfer RNA (71 nucleotides) under Phodilus badius (oriental bay-owl). RNAcentral's name for it is "tRNA-Lys". The record is from RNAcentral. Lineage: Eukaryota; Metazoa; Chordata; Aves; Strigiformes; Tytonidae.
CAUUAAGAAGCUAUGCAAAAGCACUAGCCUUUUAAGCUAGAAAAAGAGGAACCCUGACCCCUCCUUAAUGA